AUAUAGUGCACACAAGGGGCAAUCACUCUUAUUGUUGAUGUAAAACUAGGUGAUUGCUUGUGAUUUAUAGUGCACACAAGGGGCAAUCACUCUUACUGGUGAUGUAAAACUAGGUGAUUGCUUGUGAUUUAUAGUGUACACAAGGGGCGAUCACUCUUACUGGUGAUGUAAAACUAGGUGAUUGCUUGUGAUUUAUAGUGCACACAAGGGGCAAUCACUCUUACUGGUGAUGUAAAACUACUGGUAGAUGAUAGCUUGUGAUUUAUAGUGCACACA
Molecule: long non-coding RNA, 276 nt
Organism: Mytilus californianus (California mussel)
Lineage: Eukaryota; Metazoa; Mollusca; Bivalvia; Mytilida; Mytilidae
Exons: 3
Source: RefSeq, a predicted model, not a curated record